Molecule: ribosomal RNA, 466 nt
Filed under: uncultured bacterium
Lineage: Bacteria
Description: partial 16S ribosomal RNA
Rfam family: Bacterial small subunit ribosomal RNA
Source: RNAcentral
GAUGAACGCUGGCGGCGUGCUUAACACAUGCAAGUCGAACGAUGAAGCCCAGCUUGCUGGGUGGAUUAGUGGCGAACGGGUGAGUAACACGUGAGUAACCUGCCCUUAACUCUGGGAUAAGCCUGGGAAACUGGGUCUAAUACCGGAUAGGAGCGUCCACCGCAUGGUGGGUGUUGGAAAGAUUUAUCGGUUUUGGAUGGACUCGCGGCCUAUCAGCUUGUUGGUGAGGUAAUGGCUCACCAAGGCGACGACGGGUAGCCGGCCUGAGAGGGUGACCGGCCACACUGGGACUGAGACACGGCCCAGACUCCUACGGGAGGCAGCAGUGGGGAAUAUUGCACAAUGGGCGCAAGCCUGAUGCAGCGACGCCGCGUGAGGGAUGACGGCCUUCGGGUUGUAAACCUCUUUCAGUAGGGAAGAAGCGAAAGUGACGGUACCUGCAGAAGAAGCACCGGCUAAUUACGUG